CAGUAGCCGCGGGAAUACGAAGGGGGCUAGCGUUGCUCGGAAUGACUGGGCGUAAAGGGCGCGUAGGCGGCAUAUACAGUCAGGCGUGAAAUUCCCGGGCUUAACCUGGGGGCUGCGUUUGAUACGUAUGGGCUAGAGUGGGGAAGAGGGUUGUGGAAUUCCCAGUGUAGAGGUGAAAUUCGUAGAUAUUGGGAAGAACACCGGUGGCGAAGGCGGCAACCUGGUCCUUGACUGACGCUGAGGCGCGAAAGCGUGGGGAGCAAACAGGAUUAGAUACCCCCGUAGUCCCUGUCUCUUAUAC
This 301-nucleotide ribosomal RNA is filed under the name uncultured bacterium. Its description in RNAcentral is "partial 16S ribosomal RNA". It matches the Rfam family "Bacterial small subunit ribosomal RNA", at positions 509 to 807 of the family's 1533-position model. The record is from RNAcentral.